RNAcentral lists this unclassified non-coding RNA (226 nucleotides) under Hevea brasiliensis (rubber tree). The record is from RNAcentral. Lineage: Eukaryota; Viridiplantae; Streptophyta; Magnoliopsida; Malpighiales; Euphorbiaceae.
UAAAACUCUUAUGCCAAGAGAGAUUACUGGAGAAAGUGUUGGAGAAGUAAGAGCAGUGUCUGGGAUGCAUCAAAGAAAAGCAGAAAUGGCAAGACAAGCUGAUGCAUUCAUAGCCUUACCAGGUGGCUAUGGGACAUUGGAAGAACUCCUAGAAGUCAUCACUUGGGCUCAACUAGGCAUUCAUGAUAAACCAGUAGGUUUACUUAAUGUAGAUGGCUACUAUAAU